This 253-nucleotide ribosomal RNA is filed under the name uncultured bacterium. Its description in RNAcentral is "partial 16S ribosomal RNA". It matches the Rfam family "Bacterial small subunit ribosomal RNA", at positions 524 to 776 of the family's 1533-position model. The record is from RNAcentral.
UACGUAGGGGGCAAGCGUUAUCCGGAUUUACUGGGUGUAAAGGGAGCGUAGACGGUUGUACAAGUCUGAUGUGAAAGCCCACGGCUCAACUGUGGGAGUGCAUUGGAAACUGUAGAACUAGAGUAUCGGAGAGGCAAGUGGAAUUCCUAGUGUAGCGGUGAAAUGCGUAGAUAUUAGGAGGAACACCAGUGGCGAAGGCGGCUUGCUGGACGAAAACUGACGUUGAGGCUCGAAAGCGUGGGGAGCAAACAGG